This 540-nucleotide ribosomal RNA is filed under the name uncultured bacterium. Its description in RNAcentral is "bacterial SSU rRNA". It matches the Rfam family "Bacterial small subunit ribosomal RNA", at positions 355 to 896 of the family's 1533-position model. The record is from RNAcentral.
UGAGGAAUAUUGGUCAAUGGGCGCGAGCCUGAACCAGCCAAGUAGCGUGCAGGAUGACGGCCCUAUGGGUUGUAAACUGCUUUUGUAUGGGGAUAAAGUCAAUCACGUGUGAUUGUUUGCAGGUACCAUACGAAUAAGGACCGGCUAAUUCCGUGCCAGCAGCCGCGGUAAUACGGAAGGUCCGGGCGUUAUCCGGAUUUAUUGGGUUUAAAGGGAGCGUAGGCUGGAGAUUAAGUGUGUUGUGAAAUGUAGACGCUCAACGUCUGACUUGCAGCGCAUACUGGUUUCCUUGAGUACGCACAACGUUGGCGGAAUUCGUCGUGUAGCGGUGAAAUGCUUAGAUAUGACGAAGAACUCCGAUUGCGAAGGCAGCUGACGGGAGCGCAACUGACGCUGAAGCUCGAAGGUGCGGGUAUCGAACAGGAUUAGAUACCCUGGUAGUCCGCACAGUAAACGAUGGAUGCCCGCUGUUGGUACCUGGUAUCAGCGGCUAAGCGAAAGCAUUAAGCAUCCCACCUGGGGAGUACGCCGGCAACGGUG